GGUUAAGUGGGAAACGAUGUGGGAAGGCCCAGACAGCCAGGAUGUUGGCUUAGAAGCAGCCAUCAUUUAAAGAAAGCGUAAUAGCUCACUGGUCGAGUCGGCCUGCGCGGAAGAUGUAACGGGGCUAUUCGCCGCGGCGGUAGCCG
Molecule: ribosomal RNA, 146 nt
Filed under: Salmonella enterica subsp. enterica serovar Kentucky
Lineage: Bacteria; Pseudomonadati; Pseudomonadota; Gammaproteobacteria; Enterobacterales; Enterobacteriaceae
Description: partial 23S ribosomal RNA
Rfam family: Bacterial large subunit ribosomal RNA (bases 2-130)
Source: RNAcentral